Molecule: ribosomal RNA, 278 nt
Filed under: uncultured Arcanobacterium sp.
Lineage: Bacteria; Bacillati; Actinomycetota; Actinomycetes; Actinomycetales; Actinomycetaceae
Description: partial 16S ribosomal RNA
Rfam family: Bacterial small subunit ribosomal RNA
Source: RNAcentral
CUUGCUUGGGGUACUCGAGUGGCGAACGGGUGAGUAAUACGUGGGUAACCUGCCCUCUUCUUUGGGAUAAGCCCCGGAAACGGGGUCUAAUACCGGAUAUUCUGCUUCUGCCGCAUGGUGGGGGUUGGAAAGGUUUUCGGUGGGGGAUGGGCCCGCGGCCUAUCAGCUUGUUGGUGGGGUGAUGGCCUACCAAGGCUUCGACGGGUAGCCGGCCUGAGAGGGUGACCGGCCACAUUGGGACUGAGAUACGGCCCAGACUCCUACGGGAGGCAGCAGCC